CUGUCAAAAAGUAUCACUCUAAGAGAUUAUUUCUGUUUUUCAGGAGAAGACAAAUCUAAAAGUCAAGUAACUUUAAGCCCACAAUAAAUCCACCUCCAAGCAUGAGCCACUCUGACAUUAAGCAGUGAUGCUUCUCUGAACACAAGCACACUAACUGACCGGAUACUGCAGCUCCAGGACCCGACUUUCAAGCUUAGCCCACACUUAUCUACCUACUUGGUAGUAACCAACACUGAGGAGCUGACAAAGGAACCAGCAAAAAUUAUGCUGAUGGGGAGAUUCCCCUAUACCAUGGGAGAAUCUUCAACCCCAUGUAUAAUACUUUUCAAGAUAAAUCCACUUCAAAAGUCAUUCCUCAAUCCUCAGCUGCACCCAACUUAAGAAAUAAAAAGAUACGAACCUUGUUUAGACAGUCUUCGCAGUAAAGUGAGCCCUUUAAACAAACCGGAGGUACCACAUUAAGGUGCAAAGAGUUGGUGCACAAGUGAGGCGUUAGCUCCGACUGUGAAAUGUGCUCUUCCAAAUGCCCUGGAGCCCCGCUUG
Molecule: long non-coding RNA, 543 nt
Organism: Homo sapiens (human)
Lineage: Eukaryota; Metazoa; Chordata; Mammalia; Primates; Hominidae
Exons: 2
Source: RefSeq, a predicted model, not a curated record